GGUGAUAGUUCAGCGGUAGAGUGCUUGCCUAGUACAUAUGAGGCCCUGGGUUAGAUCCUCAGACCA
This 66-nucleotide transfer RNA is filed under the name Marmota monax (woodchuck). RNAcentral's name for it is "tRNA.Thr". Lineage: Eukaryota; Metazoa; Chordata; Mammalia; Rodentia; Sciuridae. The record is from RNAcentral.